UACGGAGGGUGCAAGCGUUAUCCGGAUUCACUGGGUUUAAAGGGUGCGUAGGCGGAUAUGUAAGUCCGUGGUGAAAUCUCUGGGCUUAACCCGGAAACUGCCAUGGAUACUAUGUGUCUUGAAUGUUGUUGAGGUGAGCGGAAUAUGUCAUGUAGCGGUGAAAUGCUUAGAUAUGACAUAGAACACCAAUUGCGAAGGCAGCUCACUAAGCAAAUAUUGACGCUGAGGCUCGAAAGCGUGGGGAUCAAACAGG
This 253-nucleotide ribosomal RNA is filed under the name uncultured bacterium. Its description in RNAcentral is "partial 16S ribosomal RNA". It matches the Rfam family "Bacterial small subunit ribosomal RNA", at positions 524 to 776 of the family's 1533-position model. The record is from RNAcentral.